Molecule: ribosomal RNA, 253 nt
Filed under: uncultured bacterium
Lineage: Bacteria
Description: partial 16S ribosomal RNA
Rfam family: Bacterial small subunit ribosomal RNA
Source: RNAcentral
UACAGAGGGUGCGAGCGUUAAUCGGAAUUACUGGGCGUAAAGGGUGCGUAGGUGGUUAAAUAAGUUAGGUGUGAAAGCCCAGGGCUUAACCUUGGAAUUGCGCUUAAUACUGUUUAGCUAGAGUACUGUAGAGGAAAGUGGAAUUUCCGGUGUAGCGGUGAAAUGCGUAGAUAUCGGAAGGAACAUCAGUGGCGAAGGCGGCCUUCUGGACCAAUACUGACGCUCAUGCACGAAAGCGUGGGGAGCAAACAGG